UACGUAGGUGGCUAGCGUUAUCCGGAAUUACUGGGCGUAAAGGGUGCGUAGGCGGUCUUUCAAGCCAGAAGUGAAAGGCUACGGCUCAACCGUAGUAAGCUUUUGGAACUGUAAGACUUGAGUGCAGGAGAGGAGAGUGGAAUUCCUAGUGUAGCGGUGAAAUGCGUAGAUAUUAGGAGGAACACCAGUAGCGAAGGCGGCUCUCUAGACAGAUACUGACGCUGAGGCUCUAAAGUUAGGGGAGCAAACAGGAUUAGAUACCCGCGUAGU
This 270-nucleotide ribosomal RNA is filed under the name uncultured prokaryote. RNAcentral describes it as "partial 16S ribosomal RNA". It matches the Rfam family "Bacterial small subunit ribosomal RNA", at positions 524 to 794 of the family's 1533-position model. The record is from RNAcentral.